UGGCCGGUUAUUUAAGCCUGUAGAGGAACUGAUUAGACUAGAGUUUAAUGAGAAAAGGUCAGAACGGUUAGUGUAGAGAUAAAAUAUGUUGAUACAACCUUGAUACUGACAACAGCGAAAGCAAUCUUUUAUGUAAAAACUGACGUUAAAGGACGAAGGCUAUAGUAAAACAAUAGGAUUAGAUACCCUAGUAUUCGUAGCAGUAAAUGAUGAAUGUCAUAGGUAAGUAAUAUAGUUUACCUAAAAAUGAAAAUGUAAACAUUCCACCUUAAGAGUCACAGGGCAACGUAGGAAGUGAACUCAUUAGCCCGUUUCUGAACCCAGUAGUGAAGUAUGUUAGUUAAAUUGAUAAUCCACAAAGAACCUUCCCACAAUUUGAAUGUUAAUUCACAGGAGUUGCACGGCUGUCUUCAGUUGAUAUCGUGAGAUUUUGGUUGGCUCCAUUUAAUCAACGUAAACCCUUACUUUAAUUUAUACAUAAAGUAGUUCACCAUUACAUAGGAUAAGAUAAUAGGACUAAGACA
RNAcentral lists this ribosomal RNA (524 nucleotides) under Porina atriceps. RNAcentral describes it as "SSU rRNA". It matches the Rfam family "Bacterial small subunit ribosomal RNA", at positions 572 to 1187 of the family's 1533-position model. Lineage: Eukaryota; Fungi; Ascomycota; Lecanoromycetes; Ostropales; Porinaceae. The record is from RNAcentral.